Molecule: long non-coding RNA, 458 nt
Organism: Asparagus officinalis (garden asparagus)
Lineage: Eukaryota; Viridiplantae; Streptophyta; Magnoliopsida; Asparagales; Asparagaceae
Exons: 2
Source: RefSeq, a predicted model, not a curated record
AUGUUUGUAACACAUCAUCACUUUCUUUGUCCUGUGAUUCGGUAUAUACAUGUAAAUGUUUCUCUGCUUCUAUCAUUGGUUUAUCUCUAGCUAUUAUAUGUUCGUAACUAUUAUAUGCAUCUGACUUGAAGUUUCUAUCAUUAUAGGCAGGCCAAGAAUCCUUCAGAUCCAUUACAAGAUCCUAUUACAGAGGAGCUGCAGGCGCACUAUUAGUCUAUGAUAUCACCAGGAGGGAGACUUUUAAUCAUCUGGCAGGCCAACAUAUCACCUUCCAAUUUCAGAAGUUUCAUGUUUUGUAAUCAAAUGUUGAUGUACAUUGUUUGAAUGUUAGUUCGGUACGAUAUUUUCUGAGUUGAAAUGUUGGUAGUGUGGAUUUAAUACUUUGUAGUUUUUAUACUAUACUGAUGUAUGUUGGCACUUAUCAUUAUGGUUGAUUAUGCUCAACAUAAUCACUUUUA